Limanda limanda (common dab) is the source of this 513-nucleotide long non-coding RNA. RefSeq lists it as uncharacterized. NCBI's taxonomy places the organism in Eukaryota, Metazoa, Chordata, Actinopteri, Pleuronectiformes, Pleuronectidae. The transcript is spliced from 4 exons. The record is from RefSeq and is a predicted model, not a curated record.
CAGCAACGCAGAUGAGACAUCUAGUCUUUAUAUAUAAAUCUAUGACAAAGACAGCCAGCGACAGGAAACAGAGACUCCGAGCCUGCAGCGACCCCUGUUGGACUAGAUGAAGAGGAAACAAAACUGCACACAUUGUGAUGGUGGUCUCCAGAUGGAGAUAAAUAUGUGGUGGUGUUAGAUGAUGAGGUGAACAUCUAUGAACUGGAGACGGCGUCGGUGAAGGGAACAAUCACGAACCCCAAAAGAAUCUCGUCUGUUAAGUUCUUAAAUAACUCCCUCCUGGCCGUCGCAGGAGAUGAUGAGAUUGUGAGGUUGUGUGAAUUGGAAAAACUGAAAUGUGUGUGUGAGUUCAAGGCUCAUGAAACCAGGGUGAAAGCAGUGGACAGUUUUAUGAUGGAGGAUUACUGCGUGUUGGUGACAGCUUCCAAUGACAGAUUGAUCGAGAUGUGGAAGCUCCACCUGUGUUGUUUUUUGUAAACAGUUUGGGAGAAGAAGCCGUUCUAUUUCAACCAA